Molecule: small nucleolar RNA, 115 nt
Filed under: Erinaceus europaeus (western European hedgehog)
Lineage: Eukaryota; Metazoa; Chordata; Mammalia; Eulipotyphla; Erinaceidae
Description: Small nucleolar RNA SNORA3/SNORA45 family (ENSEEUG00000023491.1)
Rfam family: Small nucleolar RNA SNORA3/SNORA45 family
About the family: The members of this family belong to the H/ACA class of snoRNAs which are thought to guide the sites of modification of uridines to pseudouridines. This family includes mouse snoMBI-28 and human homologues ACA3 (SNORA3) and ACA3-2 (SNORA45).
Source: RNAcentral
GGCGAGGCUAGAGUCUCACCCAGGCAUGGCGUUGCCCGGGCGUGCUAGAGUCCUUGGAGAGCAGCCACUGCCCUCAUUUGCUGGCUCUGGCCCUGUGGCUGAGCCAGUCAACUUA